UACGAAGGGUGCAAACGUUGCUCGGAAUUAUUGGGCGUAAAGCGCACGUAGGCGGCAUCGCAAGUCCUAUGUGAAAGCCCACGGCUUAACCGUGGAAGUGCAUGGGAAACUGCAGUGCUUGAGUCCGGGAGAGGUGAGUGGAAUUCCCAGUGUAGCGGUGAAAUGCGUAGAUAUUGGGAGGAACACCAGUGGCGAAGGCGGCUCACUGGACCGGAACUGACGCUGAGGCGCGAAAGCGUGGGGAGCAAACAGG
Molecule: ribosomal RNA, 253 nt
Filed under: uncultured bacterium
Lineage: Bacteria
Description: partial 16S ribosomal RNA
Rfam family: Bacterial small subunit ribosomal RNA
Source: RNAcentral